Molecule: transfer RNA, 114 nt
Filed under: Streptomyces sp. ISL-12
Lineage: Bacteria; Bacillati; Actinomycetota; Actinomycetes; Kitasatosporales; Streptomycetaceae
Also listed under: 1 other name
Description: tRNA-OTHER
Rfam family: tRNA
About the family: Transfer RNA (tRNA) molecules are approximately 80 nucleotides in length. Their secondary structure includes four short double-helical elements and three loops (D, anti-codon, and T loops).
Source: RNAcentral
GGAGGAUUGGCCGAGUGGUAAGGCACCGGCCCGCUCCCCUGUCCCGCACGGACCGGGAAGCGGGCCGCGGUCGGGCCUGGAAAGCCCGCGCACGUUCGAUCCGUGCAUCCUCCG